CAGGCUUGCUCGGUGGUCUCUGCGCCUUCAAGACUUUGACUUCAGCAUCAUCCACAAACCUGGAGAACGUAAUAAGGUGCCCGAUGCCCUUUCCCGUAAUCCUCUACCAGAUGUGGAUGCCCCCAUUGAUCUUCUCCCUCCCUAUGCCGUGAUUGGGAGCAUGGACCUUCGUGCUCUGCCUUCUGUAAUUGUUUCAGACCGCCCGCAUGUUCGUCAACUGCAGCUUGAGGACCCAGUCACAGGCUCAUUGCUCAAUCAGCUGGAGAGUGACCAACAAACUGGGGAGGAUAAUCAAGAUCUGGAAAAGUAUGUUGUACAUGAUGGUCUCCUCUAUUUCCUCGACCCAAAAACAAAAUGUGGUCUCCACCCACUCAAGCAGCUUAAACUGUUUGCUCCUACUACACUCCGUGGUUAUCUGCUCAAGUAUUACCACGAUCAUCCUACAGCCGGACAUCUGGGCAUUGCAAAAACUGAUUUGAGGUCCCUCUUCUGAUUGGCUCCUUUCACGUCGCGGCAACUCUGAAAACCGGCUGUGGAGGGAUACUUCCGGGUUCGACUCCUGCUGUGGCUGUGAGCUUAUGGCAUUUAGAGCGGUAUUGGAAAACAAAGCGUUUUCUCUCCUCAAUUCAUCUUUAAACUUUAAACUCAGCGGUCAGGUUUUUUUUCCCCUUUGAAUUGAUCUUCUUCAUAUUGAAGUGGCGAGCCGGUAGGACCAUUCUUUGUUUUCCCCUCUUUUCCCCCACUUAGCCGUCUUUGGAUUACGGACAUAUUUCCCCCUUGUAUGAAGCUGGACCCUAAGGAGGAAUACCUUAAAAGUGAACUUUAAAAA
Molecule: long non-coding RNA, 829 nt
Organism: Haplochromis burtoni (Burton's mouthbrooder)
Lineage: Eukaryota; Metazoa; Chordata; Actinopteri; Cichliformes; Cichlidae
Exons: 2
Source: RefSeq, a predicted model, not a curated record